Molecule: non-coding RNA, 411 nt
Organism: Schizosaccharomyces pombe (fission yeast)
Lineage: Eukaryota; Fungi; Ascomycota; Schizosaccharomycetes; Schizosaccharomycetales; Schizosaccharomycetaceae
Source: the annotation of a GenBank genome assembly
AAUAAAUCUCGGUCAGCAUCAUCUAUCUCAAGCUCCUCAUACUCUUCUUCUUCUUGAGAAGUAAUGCUUUCACUAUCGGAUACAUUUCUAGCAUGCUCUGAUUCUUCAUAGCUUGAUUCAAUUGCCGGAUUUUCUAAAGUGUCUUUUUGAUGUCCAUUACUAAUAAAAGCACUGAUCUGUGAAGGUUUUCCAUUUUCUUCUUCAUCCAACUCCUCUUUUUGUUCCCUUGCUAAUUGUAAAAUUUUUUUAGAAGUCUUGGCAUCCAAGAAGCCGUUUCCGGUGUUGCUUUCUUUCGACUUUUUCUGUUUGCUAGGUUUCUGUCUCAAGACACCACUUUCUGAAGAUUCUGCAAUGUCCUUAUAAAGAGGAGCAUGAUGCAGUUUAGUUUUUGGAGCCUUGGGCAUUAUCAAU